Ictidomys tridecemlineatus (thirteen-lined ground squirrel) is the source of this 69-nucleotide non-coding RNA. NCBI's taxonomy places the organism in Eukaryota, Metazoa, Chordata, Mammalia, Rodentia, Sciuridae. The record is from Rfam.
GGGGUUGUGGCUCAGUGGCAAAGCGCUCGCCUAGCAUGUGUGAGGCACUGGGUUCAAUUCUCAGCACCA